AUUGAACGCUGGCGGCAGGCCUAACACAUGCAAGUCGAACGAGUGGCGGACGGGUGAGUAAUGCUUGGGAAUCUAGCUUAUGGAGGGGGUUAACUACGGGAAACUGUAGCUAAUACCGCGUACCAUAGGAUCAGCCCAAGUGGGAUUAGGUAGUUGGUGAGGUAAAGGCUCACCAAGCCGACGAUCUCUAGCUGGUCUGAGAGGAUGACCAGCCACACUGGGACUGAGACACGGCCCAGACUCCUACGGGAGGCAGCAGUGGGGAAUAUGGCGCAAUGGGGGAAACCUGAUGCAGCCAUGCCGCGUGAAUGAAGAAGGCCUUCGGGUUGUAAAGUUCUUUCGGUAGCGAGGCGUUACCUACAGAAGAAGCACCGGCUAACUCCGUGCCAGCAGCCGCGGUAAUUC
Molecule: ribosomal RNA, 405 nt
Filed under: uncultured bacterium
Lineage: Bacteria
Description: partial 16S ribosomal RNA
Rfam family: Bacterial small subunit ribosomal RNA
Source: RNAcentral